Long non-coding RNA from Procambarus clarkii (red swamp crayfish), 350 nucleotides. RefSeq lists it as uncharacterized. NCBI's taxonomy places the organism in Eukaryota, Metazoa, Arthropoda, Malacostraca, Decapoda, Cambaridae. The record is from RefSeq and is a predicted model, not a curated record.
UCUACAGUCAUGAGACGAGUACACACUUGCUGAUCUAUUCGUAAACUGUUGCUUUGCCGUCCAAGAUCUGUGUUACAUAUUUAUUAUGUAAUAUAAGAAGUAAAAUAUAUAUAUGUGAAGCUUUACUUCCAGUGAUGGAAGCCAGAGAUGACAGACAUUCGCACUGAGCAGGAUCCAAGGUAUCCAAGGAGGACAUUGCUAUGUCAGAAGUAACAGGUUCUGCCUGGGCGAAUGUUGUGCAAUUAACCAUUUUGGGUACGGGAAGCGAUGCGUCUACACUCUCCCUCACGGUCGUCCUCAUCACUCGUCUCACACUCUGUAAUAAAAGAACUCAUAAAUAAUAACAUAUU